GUCCGCUUGACCUAGUGGUAUGGUGUCAGACUUCUACUUCGGUAUUCGUGUGAAUCUGGACGUCACGGGUUCGAUCCCCGUAGUGGAUU
This is a non-coding RNA of Dioszegia hungarica, 89 nucleotides long. Lineage: Eukaryota; Fungi; Basidiomycota; Tremellomycetes; Tremellales; Bulleribasidiaceae. The record is from the annotation of a RefSeq genome assembly.